GUUCCAGACUCCUACGGGAGGCAGCAGUGAGGAAUAUUGGUCAAUGGGCGGAAGCCUGAACCAGCCAAGUCGCGUGAGGGAAGAAGGCCCUGCGGGUCGCAGACCUCUUUGGACGGGGAGCAAGGCCGCCGACGUGUCGGCGGAAGGAGAGUACCCGUAGAACAAGCACCGGCUAACUACGUGCCAGCAGCCGCGGUAAUACGUAGGUGGCAAGCGUUGUCCGGAUUUACUGGGUGUAAAGGGCGUGCAGCCGGGCUGACAAGUCAGAUGUGAAAUCCCGCGGCUCAACCGCGGAACUGCAUUUGAAACUGUCAGUCUUGAGUACCGGAGAGGUCAUCGGAAUUCCUUGUGUAGCGGUGAAAUGCGUAGAUAUAAGGAAGAACACCAGUGGCGAAGGCGGCCUGCUGGGCUUUUACUGACGCUGAGGCUCGAAAGUGUGGGGAGCAAACAGGAUUAGAUACCCCGGUAGAA
This 471-nucleotide ribosomal RNA is filed under the name uncultured bacterium. RNAcentral describes it as "partial 16S ribosomal RNA". It matches the Rfam family "Bacterial small subunit ribosomal RNA", at positions 328 to 795 of the family's 1533-position model. The record is from RNAcentral.